This 1372-nucleotide ribosomal RNA is filed under the name uncultured bacterium. RNAcentral describes it as "bacterial SSU rRNA". It matches the Rfam family "Bacterial small subunit ribosomal RNA", at positions 28 to 1381 of the family's 1533-position model. The record is from RNAcentral.
GAUGAACGCUGGCGGCGUGCCUAAUACAUGCAAGUCGAGCGAACGGACGAGAAGCUUGCUUCUCUGAUGUUAGCGGCGGACGGGUGAGUAACACGUGGAUAACCUACCUAUAAGACUGGGAUAACUUCGGGAAACCGGAGCUAAUACCGGAUAAUAUUUUGAACCGCAUGGUUCAAAAGUGAAAGACGGUCUUGCUGUCACUUAUAGAUGGAUCCGCGCUGCAUUAGCUAGUUGGUAAGGUAACGGCUUACCAAGGCAACGAUGCAUAGCCGACCUGAGAGGGUGAUCGGCCACACUGGAACUGAGACACGGUCCAGACUCCUACGGGAGGCAGCAGUAGGGAAUCUUCCGCAAUGGGCGAAAGCCUGACGGAGCAACGCCGCGUGAGUGAUGAAGGUCUUCGGAUCGUAAAACUCUGUUAUUAGGGAAGAACAUAUGUGUAAGUAACUGUGCACAUCUUGACGGUACCUAAUCAGAAAGCCACGGCUAACUACGUGCCAGCAGCCGCGGUAAUACGUAGGUGGCAAGCGUUAUCCGGAAUUAUUGGGCGUAAAGCGCGCGUAGGCGGUUUUUUAAGUCUGAUGUGAAAGCCCACGGCUCAACCGUGGAGGGUCAUUGGAAACUGGAAAACUUGAGUGCAGAAGAGGAAAGUGGAAUUCCGUGUGUAGCGGUGAAAUGCGCAGAGAUAUGGAGGAACACCAGUGGCGAAGGCGACUUUCUGGUCUGUAACUGACGCUGAUGUGCGAAAGCGUGGGGAUCAAACAGGAUUAGAUACCCUGGUAGUCCACGCCGUAAACGAUGAGUGCUAAGUGUUAGGGGGUUUCCGCCCCUUAGUGCUGCAGCUAACGCAUUAAGCACUCCGCCUGGGGAGUACGACCGCAAGGUUGAAACUCAAAGGAAUUGACGGGGACCCGCACAAGCGGUGGAGCAUGUGGUUUAAUUCGAAGCAACGCGAAGAACCUUACCAAAUCUUGACAUCCUUUGACAACUCUAGAGAUAGAGCCUUCCCCUUCGGGGGACAAAGUGACAGGUGGUGCAUGGUUGUCGUCAGCUCGUGUCGUGAGAUGUUGGGUUAAGUCCCGCAACGAGCGCAACCCUUAAGCUUAGUUGCCAUCAUUAAGUUGGGCACUCUAAGUUGACUGCCGGUGACAAACCGGAGGAAGGUGGGGAUGACGUCAAAUCAUCAUGCCCCUUAUGAUUUGGGCUACACACGUGCUACAAUGGACAAUACAAAGGGCAGCGAAACCGCGAGGUCAAGCAAAUCCCAUAAAGUUGUUCUCAGUUCGGAUUGUAGUCUGCAACUCGACUACAUGAAGCUGGAAUCGCUAGUAAUCGUAGAUCAGCAUGCUACGGUGAAUACGUUCCCGGGUCU